GAAAUGGCAAGUAUUGAGAAUUUCCUCCAGUUCCAGGACGCCGUGCCUUGUAAGAUCCGUGCCAAGCGGGGAUGCACCACCCAUCCGCGCAGCAUCGCCGAGAGGGUGAGGAGAACAAAGAUCAGUGAGCGAAUCCGAAAGCUGCAAGAACUCGUUCCGAACAUGGACAA
RNA transcript from Zea mays, 170 nucleotides. RefSeq lists it as uncharacterized. The record is from RefSeq and is a predicted model, not a curated record. Lineage: Eukaryota; Viridiplantae; Streptophyta; Magnoliopsida; Poales; Poaceae. The transcript has 2 exons.